This 410-nucleotide ribosomal RNA is filed under the name Verrucomicrobiota bacterium. Its description in RNAcentral is "Verrucomicrobia bacterium partial 16S ribosomal RNA". It matches the Rfam family "Bacterial small subunit ribosomal RNA", at positions 355 to 776 of the family's 1533-position model. Lineage: Bacteria; Pseudomonadati; Verrucomicrobiota. The record is from RNAcentral.
UGGGGAAUCUUGCGCAAUGGGGGAAACCCUGACGCAGCGACGCCGCGUGCGGGAUGAAGGCCUUCGGGUUGUAAACCGCUUUCAGCAGGGACGAGGCCUUAUGGUGACGGUACCUGCAGAAGAAGCUCCGGCUAAAUACGUGCCAGCAGCCGCGGUAAUACGUAGGUCCCGAGCGUUGUCCGGAUUUAUUGGGCGUAAAGCGAGCGCAGGCGGUUAGAAAAGUCUGAAGUGAAAGGCAGUGGCUCAACCAUUGUAGGCUUUGGAAACUGUUUAACUUGAGUGCAGAAGGGGAGAGUGGAAUUCCAUGUGUAGCGGUGAAAUGCGUAGAUAUAUGGAGGAACACCGGUGGCGAAAGCGGCUCUCUGGUCUGUAACUGACGCUGAGGCUCGAAAGCGUGGGGAGCGAACAGG